This 685-nucleotide long non-coding RNA is filed under the name Takifugu rubripes (torafugu). Its description in RNAcentral is "lncRNA (ENSTRUG00000030587.1)". The record is from RNAcentral. Lineage: Eukaryota; Metazoa; Chordata; Actinopteri; Tetraodontiformes; Tetraodontidae.
AUGCCUCUGAUGGUCAUGGUGCUGCUGCUCACAUUAGUGGCUCAGUGUUGGGGGACACCUCAGUGGAGGAACUGGAGCCCUCAGGCCAUCCUGUACCUGAAGGGAGCACAGGGACACCGCGUGUUGCUGCAGCGCCCCAGCAGAGAUAAAGACAGCCCCGCACAUCUGGGGAGCCUGGACCCAAACCAGGAUGGUCUCAGGCAGCCUUGGGCGCCGCUCCUGCUCAAGCUGCUGCAGGCGGCCGUGGAUGAAGGCAGAGGAAACGCAGGCGACUGUCCGGCUCGGCGAGCCCCGGCUUCCUCCCUUUAAAAUGUGCGAUUAAAACGUUUUGUGUGAAUAAAAGGUGGUUUGUGAGCGGCUGUCGCUAUGGUCCGGCUGUGCCUUUUGAUGACCGGGCGUCACGACUGUCAGCCCGGGGCGGCAAUUAAGUGGUUGACACCAGAAGUGAUAGAAAAACAAAACUGUAAACACCAUUCAUCGUCACGCUGUCGACACCCAGGGGCCGCCUGAAGCAGACAGGGCUCGGGUCAGCCUGAGGUCACAGGCAAAACCAUUCAAAGCAACAAUAUAAAGGUCUAAGCAGGGCAGAGCCACACUCAUUUGACUGGAUUUCCUUAGAAAUUCAAUUUGAACCUGUAAAAACAGAUUCAGUCUGAUAAACCAAAGUUUUUCGGUGUGAACUUCC